RNAcentral lists this unclassified non-coding RNA (643 nucleotides) under uncultured Prochlorococcus sp. Its description in RNAcentral is "partial may contain 16S ribosomal RNA, 16S-23S ribosomal RNA intergenic spacer, and 23S ribosomal RNA". The stretch from base 279 to 351 matches the Rfam family "tRNA". The record is from RNAcentral. Lineage: Bacteria; Bacillati; Cyanobacteriota; Cyanophyceae; Synechococcales; Prochlorococcaceae.
GGGGCUAAUGACUGGGGUGAAGUCGUAACAAGGUAGCCGUACCGGAAGGUGCGGCUGGAUCACCUCCUAACAGGGAGACAACAAAAUGUUUAAUAUUAUUUUGUCACCUUAGGUCGAUCGGUAUCUCACGUUCUUAAUUAAUUAAGAAUUUCAUUUCCUAAGUUUUUCUAGGUCACACCCAUUAUUUUUCCUGGGCCAUUAGCUCAGGUGGUUAGAGCGCACCCCUGAUAAGGGUGAGGUCCCUGGUUCAAGUCCAGGAUGGCCCAUAUCUCUAUGUUGGGGGUAUAGCUCAGUUGGUAGAGCGCCUGCUUUGCAAGCAGGAUGUCAGCGGUUCGAGUCCGCUUACCUCCACUGAUUACCACCUCUUCCAUAAUCUGUAGAAAGGAAAUGUUUUGAGUUGUGAUCUAAUUCUGAACGAAUCUAGCUUCCUAAUGAAAGUAUUAAGAUGCUGGACUCAUUGAAUUAAUUUCAUUGUUUUCAGAGAACCUUGACAACUGCAUAGAUUAUUUUUUAAAGACAAUAAGCAUCUUUAAUGAUGCAGAUUUAUUAUUUGUGCGAAUGCAUUAAUAACAAUUCUAUUAAGCUGAUGCUUCAAUUUUGAAGUUAUUGGUCAAGCUACAAAGGGCUCACGGAGGAUACCUAG